This is a non-coding RNA of Oryzias latipes (Japanese medaka), 1377 nucleotides long. Lineage: Eukaryota; Metazoa; Chordata; Actinopteri; Beloniformes; Adrianichthyidae. The record is from RefSeq and is a predicted model, not a curated record.
UCAAUGGAGUGUGUCUUUGAGACUUGUGUUUAUUUUCAUUUUUUAGGUCCAGGACAUCGUUGACAGGUCAAAAUUGCUCUUACAAUGAGUUAACGCAAACUGCUGUUGUGUCUCCAAAUUGCCUGUUGUGUCUCCACAGAUUGUUUAAAACAGUUAAAUCACAAUUUGUGACAAGUUAAAAAAAAUAUUCAUCUUAACUAAGUUUCAACACCUGAGGUAAGACUUUGAUUUGUAUAAAGGAAGCAUCACUGCUACCCACAAUGAUUAUACUCAAUGAGCACUUAAUCUUUAUUUGAUAAAUGAUCUGCAUUUGAAGAAGUAUUAAUAACAUAAAAAAAUCUUAAUAAACUAGGUUAUGGCAACUAAAAAAAAGUUAGGUAAAGCAUGAUGGGGAUGGGAUAGUAUAGGUUUGUUUCUUCCUACUCCUUUUGUAGCAAUUAAUCAAAGUCUACUUGACAAUCAUUAUAUUUAAUGGAUUAGCAAUUGCUUGGAAUAAACCAAUUAAUCAAUCAAACAUUAAUUAGUACAAUAAUUAAACUUUCAUGCUUCCACCAGCACUAGACUCUAUUGAAAACAGCAUUGUAGAACUAUGCAAGAAGACACUCAAGCUAAUUUUGAAUCUUGUCAAACUAACGCAGAUGUUUUCCCAUUUUCAACAGCUCAAUAGGAUUGAAGCAUUAACUUCAAAUUGGGAAUAUAAAAACCCUCUGAAUGCUGCAUUAGGGUCUCUUUAAGAGGCUUAGGGAGACAAAGACAGUUGGGGCUGUAAACCCCUAUUACUGUAUCAUUGGUCGCAAUGCUUUGGACGGGGUGGCUCUGCUUCUUUUAGAGCUGAGCAUUCCAGUGGGGUCAGUGCUUAUCUUUGGGGGUGUUAGAAUGGGAGUUGAAGGGUGAUGAAGAAGGGUGUUCGCUGUAAUUAAAAGGAAAGAAAGCAGCAUAAGUCCUCCCUAAUCCUUUGUUCCUCUUCAAAUGCACAGGACCAGAAGCAAUGCGCCCCAACAAAAGAGCAUAUGAAGCGAGGAAGCCACAGCUCCUGCUGCCUCACUGUUGCACCGAAAGUGCUGACUGUGGUUUCGCCCCUUCACCAGUGCGUCCGUCUUGGAGCGGUCACCGCUGCCUCCACUUUGCUAAUCAGCCACACAACAUUUAACAUUUAAGAACUCCCCUCCAGCCUUUAGUAUCGGCUCAUUUUGUGUUCUAGCUAUGCUCUCCUUGCCUUUACUUUUUUUUAAUACACCUUUUGUUACAUCUUGGUUUGUGGUUCUUCCCUGCACCUGCUUGCCAAAGCGUGACAGAAAAUCUAUCUAUUUUCAUUUUGUUGUGAACCCAGAAAGUUAAAAACACAAGGAUUUACCUGAAAUCCAACAGGAUCCUAAA